Molecule: transfer RNA, 74 nt
Filed under: Thermoplasmata archaeon HGW-Thermoplasmata-1
Lineage: Archaea; Methanobacteriati; Thermoplasmatota; Thermoplasmata
Also listed under: 1 other name
Description: tRNA-Arg
Rfam family: tRNA
About the family: Transfer RNA (tRNA) molecules are approximately 80 nucleotides in length. Their secondary structure includes four short double-helical elements and three loops (D, anti-codon, and T loops). Further hydrogen bonds mediate the characteristic L-shaped molecular structure. tRNAs have two regions of fundamental functional importance: the anti-codon, which is responsible for specific mRNA codon recognition, and the 3' end, to which the tRNAs corresponding amino acid is attached (by aminoacyl-tRNA synthetases). tRNAs cope with the degeneracy of the genetic code in two manners: having more than one tRNA (with a specific anti-codon) for a particular amino acid; and 'wobble' base-pairing, i.e. permitting non-standard base-pairing at the 3rd anti-codon position.
Source: RNAcentral
GCCCGCGUGGGCUAGCCUGGAUAUACUAAGAGCCUGCGGAGUUCUUGACCCGAGUUCGAAUCUCGGCGCGGGCG